UGGCUAUCUUAUAGAAUGCAAUUUUAAAAAAAAUUUCAUUUUUUUUUUCUCAAGUGUUAAGACCAAUGAAAUUUUUGCUGCAUAUGUAACGAAAAUCGUAGGUGCUUUAGCUGUCAAGUAAUUGAAGGAUAUGGUAUGACAGAGACUUCUUGUGCCAUGAGCAUGAUGGAUGAGGGUGACAACUUAUCUGGCCACGUCUGGUCCCCUAAUCCUGCCUGUUAGGUAUUUCCUUUUGCCUUUGCAAUUGUAUCUGGUGAAACUGUAGACAAUUUGAGACGGUUUCUUUAAAGGAUAUCGAAUGUCUUGCUGGGAUUUUUUGGGUUUUUUU
Prunus avium (sweet cherry) is the source of this 328-nucleotide non-coding RNA. The record is from RefSeq and is a predicted model, not a curated record. Lineage: Eukaryota; Viridiplantae; Streptophyta; Magnoliopsida; Rosales; Rosaceae.